Molecule: ribosomal RNA, 453 nt
Filed under: Goniomonas pacifica
Lineage: Eukaryota; Cryptophyceae; Goniomonadida; Goniomonadaceae
Description: partial Bacterial large subunit ribosomal RNA
Rfam family: Bacterial large subunit ribosomal RNA
Source: RNAcentral
GCGAAAGCGAGUCCGAAUAGGGCGAUUGAGUCGCGUGCUCUAGACCCGAAGCGGAGUGAUCUAUCCAUGGCCAGGGUGAAGCGACGGUAAGACGUCGUGGAGGCCCGAACCCACUUGGGUUAAAAACCGAGGGGAUGAGCUGUGGAUAGGGGUGAAAGGCCAAUCAAACUGAGAGAUAGCUCGUACUCCCCGAAAUGCUUUUAGGAGCAGCGUGUGGGUGAGUUUACUAGAGGUAGAGCUACCGAUUGGACUAGGGGGAGUCACAUCCUACCAAAUCCAGACGAACUCCGAAUGCUAGUAAAUAUACCACGCAGUGAGGGUUGGGGUGCUAAGGUCCCAAUCCGAGAGGGAAAGAACCCAGACCUACAGCUAAGGUCCCAAAAUCUACGCUAAGUUGAACUAAGGAGGUCCAGUUGCUUAGACAGCCAGGAUGUUGGCUUGGAAGCAGCCAUU